GAUAAAGAGGAGACUGCAAAGCUGUACUUUUAAACGCUGACGUCCAUGUACUAUUUGUCAGUUCGUAGGUAGACGAAAUAACCUCGUUCUAUAUGCCCUCCGACUACACCAGGCCAUUACGUUUGAGAAAAAUAGCGUCACUAAUUCACAAUCAUAAACACGUGAAAAUAAUGCUUUAUACGCAUUGGCGUUUGAAAGUAGAUGCCCUCAGUUAGGAGGCAAUGCAUGUCAGGGGUUAGGGUCAGGGGUUAGGGUUGAACAGAGAAAGCACGCUUUUUUUCUCUCUCCUUUGUCCCGUCCCGUUCUGCCGUGUUACAUCAGGGCUGUGAUCGUGCCCACUGACGCCUACACAGUUGCCCUGUUCAACGUUAAACACUGAAAAAUAAGCCACUCUGGCAAGUGUUGAUUUUUCCAAAAAAAUGUCCUUGUAAACAGAUGAAACACGUGCCGCAAAGGGCCUUUGUCAGAAUAAAAAUGUGAUCGCUGUACAGAAGUUAUUUUACCAAUCCAUUACUCGGCUUCUUUUUUUAAAUACCUUUAAACAUAAUUACCGGCUGUUACUCUAUCAUUUGAGCACCGCUUUGUACGAGAGUUCUGCACUAAGUAAGGCUUUCACGGUUGUGCUGAGUGGCCCUGUGUUUAUGCGUUUUCUGGUUGUAGCACUACGCGUUGUUCAGCAUCAUGUUCGACGUUUCGCUCCUCGUGCUGGCACCUUCUUCAGGAACUGUGAUCGUGCAAUGCAACACGCGGCAUCCGGCCAGAACCGGCGAAUAACAAAAAGCAUAGGAAGAUCCAACUGAUUAAGGGACGAGACACGAUCCCAACGCGCCACCACCGUGUAUGGAAACUCAGGAUAUCAACAGACGCAACUAAACUAACUAUAACUAACUUGACUAAAUACUUAAACCAGCAGGGUGAGUGGAAAGCACUAGCGGGGGUUUAAAGGGCCAGUUUAGAGAGGUGAGUUUUCAGGACAAGACUGAAACAUAUCGAACGAUUCUCAUUUGUCUGAUUAGCAAAGGCAAAGCGUUACAAAACAUGUCUCUGUGCAUUCUCUGUCACCCAAUU
This is a long non-coding RNA of Petromyzon marinus (sea lamprey), 1068 nucleotides long. RefSeq lists it as uncharacterized. Lineage: Eukaryota; Metazoa; Chordata; Hyperoartia; Petromyzontiformes; Petromyzontidae. The record is from RefSeq and is a predicted model, not a curated record.